Molecule: long non-coding RNA, 263 nt
Filed under: Pan troglodytes (chimpanzee)
Lineage: Eukaryota; Metazoa; Chordata; Mammalia; Primates; Hominidae
Description: long non-coding RNA NONPTRT007739
Source: RNAcentral
GGGAGGCCGAGUCAGGAGAAUCGCGUGAACCCAUGAACCCAGGAGGCGGAGGUUGCAGUGAGCCGAGAUUGCGCCACUGCACUCCAGCCUGGGUGACAAAGCGAGACUUUGUCUCAAAACAAAACAAAACAAAACAGCUUUAUUGAGGUAUAACUGACAUAAACAGCAAAUAUUUAAAGGAUAUAAUUUGAUAAGGCUUGUUAAAUGAAUACAGCUGUGGAUUAAUAUAUUCUGCUGCUGUUGGGUCGACUAUUUGAUUAUUG